This 99-nucleotide transfer RNA is filed under the name Embleya hyalina. RNAcentral describes it as "tRNA-Ala". The record is from RNAcentral. Lineage: Bacteria; Bacillati; Actinomycetota; Actinomycetes; Kitasatosporales; Streptomycetaceae.
UCCGGCCGGAGAUAUCGGCUCGGGCGUCCCGCUCCCCGCGCGGGCGCGGAAGUCCGGUCUCGGGAGUCAUGGCCGGGGUUCGGUGUCCUCGGCCGGGAC